AGGCCUUGAAACCAUGAAGCUUCUCAUCCUUGCCUACCUUGUGGCUGUUGCUCUUGCCAGGCCUCAACUUUUUUUCAAACAAGCAGAAUUUGUUCAAAAUGAACUAGACAGCAGAGAGCCUACAUCAAGACAAUUAAGACCGGACUACAUCAAUGAGGAGAACAGACCAAGAGAACUUCUGAGAGAAAAACAGUUUGAGGAACUGAAGG
Erinaceus europaeus (western European hedgehog) is the source of this 209-nucleotide long non-coding RNA. RefSeq lists it as uncharacterized. The record is from RefSeq and is a predicted model, not a curated record. Lineage: Eukaryota; Metazoa; Chordata; Mammalia; Eulipotyphla; Erinaceidae. The transcript has 6 exons.